This 494-nucleotide ribosomal RNA is filed under the name uncultured bacterium. RNAcentral's name for it is "partial 16S ribosomal RNA". It matches the Rfam family "Bacterial small subunit ribosomal RNA", at positions 28 to 507 of the family's 1533-position model. The record is from RNAcentral.
GACGAACGCUGGCGGCGUGCUUAACACAUGCAAGUCGAACGGAAAGGCCUGCUUUCCCUUGUGGAUUGCGGGUACUCGAGUGGCGAACGGGUGAGUAACACGUGAGUGAUCUGCCCCCAACUUGGGUAUAAGCCUGGGAAACUGGGUCUAAUUCCCGAUAGGACUGCAGGGUGGUGCCUGUGGUGGAAAACGAUUUUCUAGUGGUUGGGGAUGAGCUCGCGGCCUAUCAGCUUGUUGGUGGGGUAAUGGCCUACCAAGGCGGCGACGGGUAGCCGGCAUGAGAGGGUGGACGGCCACAUUGGGACUGAGAUACGGCCCAGACUCCUACGGGAGGCAGCAGUGGGGAAUAUUGCACAAUGGGCGGAAGCCUGAUGCAGCGACGCCGCGUGGGGGAUGACGGCCUUCGGGUUGUAAACUCCUUUCGACCGCGAGGAAGCCACCUGGUUGGAAGGGUGGUGACGGUAGUGGUAGAAGAAGCACCGGCUAACUACGUG